Molecule: transfer-messenger RNA, 357 nt
Filed under: Fimbriimonadaceae
Lineage: Bacteria; Bacillati; Armatimonadota; Fimbriimonadia; Fimbriimonadales
Also listed under: 2 other names
Description: 55-13 sp001898035 Standard tmRNA
Rfam family: transfer-messenger RNA
About the family: Bacterial tmRNA, also known as 10Sa RNA or SsrA, is named for its dual tRNA and mRNA-like properties. Its role is to liberate the mRNA from a stalled ribosome. To accomplish this part of the tmRNA is used as a reading frame that ends in a translation stop signal.
Source: RNAcentral
GGGGGCGAAAGGGCUCGACAGAGCUGGUUCGACUUUCGGUUGCGAGCCGUGGAUUCUCGUUGGCCACGUCAAAAACGAGAAAAAAAGUAGUUGCGAAUAACAAUUACGCCUUCGCUGCCUAAAUAGCCAGCGAGAUCCGCACUCCUCGAGCCGGUAGGGGAGAGUUCGGGUCUAAUAAAAUCCGGAUCGUUGGGUCGGCUUCCGUCUGUAGCUAGCUCGACUAAAUAAAUCAGACUGGGCGUGCGUUCAGCCGGCCUCGGGAGAGAGCGCCGCCGAGAUAAAGUACUGAGGAGACGCUCGUGGUAACUGGAGGGGCGACAGUUUUGGAAGGGGGUUCAAUUCCCCCCGCCUCCACCA